Long non-coding RNA from Cygnus olor (mute swan), 3141 nucleotides. RefSeq lists it as uncharacterized. NCBI's taxonomy places the organism in Eukaryota, Metazoa, Chordata, Aves, Anseriformes, Anatidae. The record is from RefSeq and is a predicted model, not a curated record. The transcript is spliced from 13 exons.
GGCUCUUGUUACUUGUAGGAAGCAUGCCGUCAGCCCCUUGGAUUUGGUCUUCUGUCAUCCACAACAUUUCUAUCAAUGUGUGAAAGUUCUGAAUACUUUCCAAUACUUCCUGUGCGAUGCAUAUGCUGCUACCCAUGUAAGGUUAAAGCAUUUCCUCUACAGCCAGGCAAGAUGUGAUAGAUCUCUGUGUCCUUGCUCCAGCCCACCAUCAACCUUCUUUACAAUUACCUCAGUGGAACAAUUCCUUUCCAUUUCUGUGGGAUAUCAGAGCCUACCCAGCAAGUGUUGGUGAGUUGCAGUCCUCGUGGAAAUAAUAACACUCCUUAUGUGAUUGCUCAUAAAAUAUGAACUGAAGGUGAUCACUGAGAUUGAGACCUGCUGUGAAACACCAGAAUGGCAGAUAAGAAUGAUAUACUUGGAAACAAACAGCAAAACAAAUAUAGCAGGCUUAUACAAAGCAGAGAUGACAACCAAAACUUCUGUAAUGUGUUAUAGUAUGCUGUCAAAAUCUAGAGCAAUACACAGAGGAAAUUGCUUUAUCAACAGAAUCUGCUGGCGAUCUGAAAAACAGGUAACUUCUAAAUGAUGGAUUUAAGGGUCAUUUGCUGAUGCCUGCUGAGGGGCCUGUGCCUGGUGAAAGUUUACAGAGCAUCUUGUACAUCCUACUCCCCCAGAAAUACUGAAUGGAACCUGCUUGUAGGAACCCCAAGAGCUCCAAUGUCCUUUCUCUUCCGUGCUGUUCACCGCUGAGUGUCUGCUGGGAUGAGCUGGUUCAUAGACUUGGCUGGGUCAGGUGAAUGAGCUGCUGAAAAGGGAAAAUAUAACCAGAAUUUGGAGGAAAACUAAAGCAGGAAUGGGGAAGGAGAUCUUAGUCUGCGACGUGGAUUUGGAACUCUGCAAGCAUAUUCACACGAAGGCUAGGAUCACAGGAUGGCUAAAGACAUCAGGAACAUCUUCUGAGCACAUUUGGCUACUCCUGCAAGCAAGGUGAAGAAGAGAAUUAACAUCCAAUUUUCAGCUACCAGUGCCGUGACGCUACUCCUGACAUUGCUGCUGGUGCUAUAAAAGCAGAGUCCCACAGGUUGUCUCCUUGGUCUGUGAGAGACUGGAAAUGCCUCUCUAAGCAUAACUGAACUCUCCUGCUCAGCUUGACUGAAGAGAGAGCGUGGCUGUGGCGCCUGCUGUGAAAAGGACUUUUCUGAGGAAACAAACCAGUGAAGAAGUGACAGUGACCAGACCUGGACUAACAAAGCUCUAAUAAGUCUCCCACAGCAACAUCCCCAAAGUUAUCUAAUAAACAGGGAUGUUAUGACAUCCUUGCACAAUAACUCUAAAUACCAUCACAGGAAACAUCGCCUAAUAAACGAUACAAUUACUGCAAAGAUGAAAACCAGCGCUCCUGAGCGCACACACUUUAUCUCAAAUCCAGAUGUGAGUUAAGCGUGGGAGAAGGGGCAGUUGUCUGCUCUAAGUUGUCUGCUCUACACAGAUCAAAAUUUCAGCAAAAUGUGCUGCGAGCUGCAGCACAGUGAAGCAGCCGAGUUCGACCAGCCUCCCUGCCUGCCUCUGUCUGUGCUGUGCGACAGCCAAAGCAGAGUUAUAAGUAACUCCUCUCCUCUGCCAAGAAACUCCCUGCGUUGGUUUAUCCAGAAGGGCUUCUGCACCAAAGAUAGCCUCUGGUGUGGGGGUUAUGUUCCAGGUCUGCUUUUAGGGGAGAGCUGUUCCAAGAGAAGUUGAAAGUUUGUCUUCGGGUCUGUGAUUAUUGUAAAAGCCUGGACCGGAGCUUUUUUGGCUGCUUGCGUGUCACAGCACUUUUCUAACGAUCACUGGUUGCUGCCUCGGUUGAAUAGGUUUCCUAGGUUAACCAGGAAAAAGAAAAAAAAAAAAACAAAAAACUCCACCCUUUUUCAUUUUAUAAUUAUCUGCUAUUUCUCCAGAGCUGUUCUUUUAUCCGUAUAUUUUGCUCUUGCCUGGAUGUGCCCAGUGCCUUGCAAUUAAAAGGAAGCAGCUCUAUACUGUUACCAACCUAAGAUCACAUGCUGCAAAUCCUUGCUCAUUAGAGCAGUCCCACCAGAGCGAAUGAAGCUGUUUCACAUCAGGUCUGCUUGCUUUGCGAAGUUUAGGAGGUUCUGACCUUAAGUUGCGUGUUUUAAAAUGUCAGCAAAAUGUUCUCUGACUCACCAUUAAUAGUAUAAUUGCUAAUGUGAUGAAUAUCCAAAAAAAAAAAAAAAAAUCCAAAUGUGUUUAUAUAACUAUCAGAAAACUUGCAUUCCCAAAGGGAAGGGGCAGUUGUACUUUCAACAUCACUUGUUUUGGCCCGGAGGUGUCCCAUGUGCCAAAAAGUAAUAAUGCAAGGGACAGGGUUAACGUAAGACUGAAUUUAGUGAAAAUUCCUUACCUGUGCUACUUGGCAAUGCAAUGAGGUAUUCAAAGAAGGGAAGAGUUUUAAAAUAAGUUUGUUUUGCGCUUUGUUUUUUCUGUAGUUCUUGGCUUUUCUGGUUUCACUUCUGGUUUGUGUUCGAUCAGUCAGUGCUUCUAUGCUCUAUGUGCUCCGAAUUUAAAAGACAUCUGCUUCACUUCAGCUGUAUCCCCCACUGUCAGAUUCUGCUUCCUCCCGUUAUAAGAAUGCUAAAACAUUGCUGGCACGAAUAUGCAAGGAAAGUAAAUGCAAAGCCAGAGCCACAGAUAAUUGCUGAUCCUUUUAAAGUGCCCAAACCUCUCAUGAGAUCUUUGAUGCAGAGACUGUUCAGUGAGACAGACUAAGGUUUGACCACUCUUUUUGCAAGCACAAGAGCAAGCAUCUGCAAUUACUUUAUGAAAACAACCGCUGGUGAGAGUUAUAAAUCAAUACAUGCAAUGUGCUUGGGAUAUUUUAUUUUAAUUAAACCAUGCUUCAUAUAGCAUUCAGAGCUUCUCAGCUGCCUUGUUAGAUCCCUAGCAUCAGGGCAAGAGGGCAAAGAGUGAGCUGCCGCCUCUGCAGUUGGCAUCAGGCAGCCAGAUGCACCAAGCGCCCCUGCAAAUUUUGCUGCUUUUAAUUUUUGGUGUUUCCUAUUGAUGGAUGAUGUUGCAAGUAAUUUACUAGAAGUCACAACUCACUUGGUAGCCAAGUGGUUGCAAGUAGAAAUUACAAGAGAACUGUAU